AGCCUGGGACCCAUCUGCUCACACUUACUCUGUAUUAAUGCAUGUGUAAAAAUGAAGGACAGAUUUAUCACCUUGAUGAUUCUGGUGAUGGGGACCUGACUUCUAGUUGUCACAGGAUAAAGGGGAAGGUCUCUGCUGAGGACAGACCUCUGGAGAGUGGUUGGUCCAGUCCCCCCACAUGUACUUUCCUUAGGUUUCCUCACAGUGUCCUGGGUCUGAAGUCACAGUUCUGGAAACUUCCCUGGGGUCCAGGACUAGGGGGUUCCUUUAGCACCUCAUGGCCCCCGCCCCCCUUCCCUGGCUUCUCACAAGAUGUUUUCUUCCCACAGGUGGAAAAGGAGGGAUCUACGUUCAGGCUGCAAACAGUGACAGUGCCCAGGGCUCUGAUGUGUCUCUCACAGCUUCUAAAGCAUGAGACAGCUGUCUUAUGGGGGAACGAGUGAUGCAAGAUUUGUUCAU
Pteropus alecto (black flying fox) is the source of this 459-nucleotide long non-coding RNA. RefSeq lists it as uncharacterized. Lineage: Eukaryota; Metazoa; Chordata; Mammalia; Chiroptera; Pteropodidae. The transcript is spliced from 3 exons. The record is from RefSeq and is a predicted model, not a curated record.